CUACGGGAUGUGCGAGUCCCUAGAAUUGGUCUCCCCUGUCCCCUCACCUACUCCCCCUACUGUUCACCGCCUCCAGAUCCAGAUCCAGAACCAAACUCGCUCGGCACCAGCAGCUGGGGUUCGAGCAGGUGGUGGAGGGCCGCCCGAUAGGUGCAGGGAGAAAAGAAUGGCGGGGAGGAGGAGACCCCCUGACUACCCCUCAGCCAGAGCUCCAGUGUCACACGAAACGUACUCUGUUACAAAGGAGAUGAAGAUGAAGUAAAACAAGCCAACUUCACAUAAAAGUGUGUUGCGCACAGCAUGAUCUCUGAGAGUGUACAGAGGGAAUUUUCUCAAGAAUGGUGAAGGUGAGGGAUUCCCCAGAUGGUGGCUGGAUAAUAUAUUGUGUGUAUCUCAUUCCUUUGCUAUAUUCCAUAUGUCCAUUUUGGUAAGGCAACUAUUUCCAGCCGCCAUUCUCUGUCACUGCUCAGAGUCCAUUGUAAUGGGCGUCUCCUCUUCACUCAUUGGAUGUUCUGUCGAAGAAGAUUGAUGAUUGUAAUGGUGUCAACUACCAUAAAACAUUUAGAAGUUUCCUUUCAACACGUUUGACCACCACACGGCUGUACUUUGUGUUCCUGUAUGAGCAUGCACGAGUUUCUCAAUUCAAACUAAACCAAUCCAAGUUAAAUGAAUCCAAGUUUGCGUUUAAUCUCCACCCAAAGGCCUUUGUUUACCCACAGCAUACACCAUACCCUCUCCACACACCUUAUUAGUAGCUGAAACCAAGACGAUUUGAGUGAUUUGUGGGCUGACGGUUAUAUUUGUGUGUGUGUGUUGUAAAAAACUCUGACUCCACUUUGUCUGCUCUCAGCUCAUACAGCGACUGCUUGGCCCUUGUGUUACCUUAAUUAAGUCCAUGCAUGGGUGCAUGGGUGUGUGUGUGUGUGUGUGUGUGUAGUGUGGUGUUCGGUUCAUAUUUAGACACCCUCAAGCUGAACUUUGA
Gasterosteus aculeatus aculeatus (three-spined stickleback) is the source of this 982-nucleotide long non-coding RNA. RefSeq lists it as uncharacterized. The record is from RefSeq and is a predicted model, not a curated record. NCBI's taxonomy places the organism in Eukaryota, Metazoa, Chordata, Actinopteri, Perciformes, Gasterosteidae.